RNAcentral lists this ribosomal RNA (491 nucleotides) under uncultured bacterium. RNAcentral's name for it is "partial 16S ribosomal RNA". It matches the Rfam family "Bacterial small subunit ribosomal RNA", at positions 28 to 507 of the family's 1533-position model. The record is from RNAcentral.
GAUGAACGCUGGCUACAGGCUUAACACAUGCAAGUCGAGGGGAAACGUCGGGGAAUCUUGCUUCUCCGGGUGUCGACCGGCGCACGGGUGAGUAACGCGUAUCCAACCUGCCUCUGACUGAUGGCUAACCCGUCGAAAGUCUGCCUAAUACCUCUUUGCAUCGUCUGCUGGCAUCCAACGACGAUUAAAGUUUUCUUUGGUCAGGGAUGGGGUUGCGUCUGCUUAGCUUGUUGGCGAGGUAACGGCCCACCAAGGCUACGAUCAGUAGGGGUUCUGAGAGGAAGGUACACCACAUUUGAGAUGAGACACAGACCAAACUCGUACGGGGGGGAGGAGUGAGGAAUAUUGGGCGAUGGGGGGGGACCGGAACAAGCCAAGUGGGGGACAGGAGGACGGCCAUAGGGGUUGUAAACUGCUAUUGUGCGGGGAUAAAGUGAGGGACGUGGCCUUCAUUGCAGGUACCGAAUGAAUAAGGACCGGCUAAUUCCGUG